GGGGCCUUAGCUCAGCGGGAGAGCAACUGGCUGGCAGCCAGUAGGUCGCGGGUUCAAAUCCCGCAGGCUCCACCA
Molecule: transfer RNA, 75 nt
Filed under: Deltaproteobacteria bacterium
Lineage: Bacteria; Pseudomonadati; Myxococcota; Myxococcia
Description: tRNA-Ala
Rfam family: tRNA
About the family: Transfer RNA (tRNA) molecules are approximately 80 nucleotides in length. Their secondary structure includes four short double-helical elements and three loops (D, anti-codon, and T loops).
Source: RNAcentral